Molecule: long non-coding RNA, 2398 nt
Organism: Oncorhynchus keta (chum salmon)
Lineage: Eukaryota; Metazoa; Chordata; Actinopteri; Salmoniformes; Salmonidae
Exons: 6
Source: RefSeq, a predicted model, not a curated record
GAUAGAGAGAGGUAGAGAGGUGGAUGGAGAGAGGGAGAGAGGUAGAGAGGUGGAUGGAGAGAGGUAGAGAGGUAGAGAGGUGGAUGGAGAGAGGUAGAGAGGUGGAUGGAGAGAGGUAGAGAGGUGGAUGGAGAGAGGUAGAGAGGUGGAUGGAGAGAGGUAGAGAGGUGGAUGGAGAGAGGUAGAGAGGUAUAGAGGUGGAUAGAGAGAGGUAGAGAGGUAGAUGGAGAGAGGUAGAGAGGUGGAUGGAGAGAGGUAGAGAGGUAUAGAGGUGGAUAGAGAGAGGUAGAGAGGUGGAUGGAGAGAGGUAGAGAGGUAUAGAGGUGGAUAGAGAGAGGUAUAGAGGUGGAUAGAGAGAGGUAUAGAGGUGGAUAGAGAGAGGUAGAGAGGUAGAUGGAGAGAGGUAGAGAGGUGGAUGGAGAGAGGUAGAGAGGUAUAGAGGUGGAUAGAGAGAGGUAGAGAGGUAGAUGGAGAGAGGUAGAGAGGUGGAUAGAGAGAGGUAUAGAGGUGGAUAGAGAGAGGUAUAGAGGUGGAUGGAGAGAGGUAGAGAGGUGGAUGGAGAGAGGUAGAGAGGUAUAGAGGUAUAGAGGUGGAUAGAGAGAGGUAUAGAGGUGGAUAGAGAGAGGUAGAUGGAGAGAGGUAGAGAGGUAUAGAGGUGGAUGGAGAGAGGUAUAGAGGUGGAUAGAGAGAGGUAUAGAGGUGGAUAGAGAGAGGUAUAGAGGUGGAUGGAGAGAGGUAUAGAGGUGGAUGGAGAGAGGUAGAGAGGUGGAUGGAGAGAGGUAGAGAGGUAUAGAGGUGGAUAGAGAGAGGUAGAGAGGUGGAUGGAGAGAGGUAGAGAGGUAUAGAGGUGGAUAGAGAGAGGUAUAGAGGUGGAUAGAGAGAGGUAGAGAGGUAGAUGGAGAGAGGUAGAGAGGUGGAUGGAGAGAGGUAGAGAGGUAUAGAGGUGGAUAGAGAGAGGUAGAGAGGUAGAUGGAGAGAGGUAGAGAGGUGGAUAGAGAGAGGUAUAGAGGUGGAUAGAGAGAGGUAUAGAGGUGGAUGGAGAGAGGUAUAGAGGUGGAUGGAGAGAGGUAGAGAGGUGGAUGGAGAGAGGUAGAGAGGUAUAGAGGUGGAUGGAGAGAGGUAUAGAGGUGGAUAGAGAGAGGUAUAGAGGUGGAUGGAGAGAGGUAGAGAGGUGGAUGGAGAGAGGUAGAGAGGUGGAUGGAGAGAGGUAGAGAGGUAUAGAGGUGGAUAGAGAGAGGUAGAGAGGUGGAUGGAGAGAGGUAGAGAGGUAUAGAGGUGGAUAGAGAGAGGUAGAGAGGUAGAUGGAGAGAGGUAGAGAGGUGGAUGGAGAGAGGUAGAGAGGUGGAUAGAGAGAGGUAGAGAGGUAUAUGGAGAGAGGUAGAGAGGUAGAGAGGUAUAGAGGUGGAUAGAGAGAGGUAGAGAGGUAGAUGGAGAGAGGUAGAGAGGUAGAUGGAGAGAGGUAGAGAGGUAGAUGGAGAGAGGUAGAGAGGUAGAUGGAGAGAGGUAGAGAGGUAGAGAGGUAGAUGGAGAGAGGUAGAGAGGUAGAUGGAGAGAGGUAGAGAGGUAGAGAGGUAGAUGGAGAGAGGUAGAGAGGUAGAUGGAGAGAGGUAGAGAGAGAGAGGUAGAGAGGUGGAUGGAGAGAGGUAGAGAGGUAGAUGGAGAGAGGUAGAGAGAGAGAGGUAGAGAGGUAGAUGGAGAGAGGUAGAGAGGUAGAUGGAGAGAGGUAGAGAGAGGUAGAGAGAGGUUAAUGAAAGGAAGAGGGGACCGCUGUAUAUCCCAUGCAUCCACAUGGCAUUCGGAAAGUAUUCAGAUCUCAUCACUUUUUACACAUUUUGUUAUUGUUACAGCCUUGUUCUAAAAUUGAUACAAAUGUAUGUUUUUCAUCAUCAAUCUACACAUAAUACCCCAUAAUGACAAAGCAAAAACUGUUUUUAGAAAUAUUUGCAAAUGUAUUAAAUAUAAAAUAAACACCUAAUUUACAUAAGAAUUCAGACCCUUUUCCUAGAGACUCGAAAUUGAACUCGGGUGCAUCCCGUUUACACUGAUCAUCAUUGAGAUGUUUCUACAACUUGACUGGAGUCCACCUGUAAAACAGCCCGCUUGGAGUUUGCCAAAAGGCACCUAAAGGACUCGCAGAUCAUGAGAAACAAGAUUCUCUGAUCUGAUGAAACCAAGAUUGAACUCUUUGGCCUGAAUACCAAGCAUCCCGUCUGCAGGAAGCCUGCCACCAUCCCUACGGUGAAGCAUGGUGGUGGCAGCAUCAUGCUGUGGGGAUGAUUUUCAGCGGCAGGGACUGGGAGACUAGUCAGGAUCGAGGGAAAUAUCAACAGAGCAAAGUACAGAGAAAUCAUUGAUGAAAACCUACUCCAGAGCACUCUGGACCUCAGAUUGGGGUGAA